GGCAGGAUCCAGAGUCAUAUUUGUGUCUAAAGUGUAGGAUAUAAUGAUGCCUUGAACCUAAUUGUCCUGCUUGACUACAUGCAUUUAUAUCCACACAUUUAAUGGAUAUAAUAGCUUAUUUACCAGUUUUUAAUGAGCUCAUUUCUACUCAGCUCCAGUCCUUGCAAGGGUGAUGUAUGGGGACAACAGAAUCAGUAUUUCUUCUACUGAACAAACACAGGUAGUGUAGAAAGGUGCUGAGCUUCUGUAGGUAGAAGUACAUUGAAGAUCCUCAUGAUCCAGAAGCAUGAAGAUAAGCUUGAAAGGCACAUUUAAAAGGCUGAUUGUCAAGUUAAGCUCUCAAAACAUCUCUCUCAUUUUUUUUUUGUAUCUGAGGAGUACCAUUUCUUCCAGGAAUGUCUCUGUUGCUUCAUUACUUCUACGUUUGCAUUUCUGGAUUACUCUGUGGAGAAACCAGGCCAUGGUGUGCUUCUUCAUUAAUGAGAUUCACAAGGUGCCAUUGAGGGAGAAUUAUGGAGAAGUGUCGCCCAUGUUUUAGUUGUAUCCUUC
RNAcentral lists this long non-coding RNA (549 nucleotides) under Junco hyemalis (dark-eyed junco). RNAcentral describes it as "lncRNA (ENSJHYG00000009488.1)". The record is from RNAcentral. Lineage: Eukaryota; Metazoa; Chordata; Aves; Passeriformes; Passerellidae.